Molecule: ribosomal RNA, 486 nt
Filed under: uncultured bacterium
Lineage: Bacteria
Description: partial 16S ribosomal RNA
Rfam family: Bacterial small subunit ribosomal RNA
Source: RNAcentral
AUUGAACGCUGGCGGCAUGCCUUACACAUGCAAGUCGAACGGCAGCACGGGUGCUUGCACCUGGUGGCGAGUGGCGAACGGGUGAGUAAUACAUCGGAACAUGUCCUGUAGUGGGGGAUAGCCCGGCGAAAGCCGGAUUAAUACCGCAUACGAUCUACGGAUGAAAGCGGGGGACCUUCGGGCCUCGCGCUAUAGGGUUGGCCGAUAGCUGAUUAGCUAGUUGGUGGGGUAAAGGCCUACCAAGGCGACGAUCAGUAGCUGGUCUGAGAGGACGACCAGCCACACUGGGACUGAGACACGGCCCAGACUCCUACGGGAGGCAGCAGUGGGGAAUUUUGGACAAUGGGCGAAAGCCUGAUCCAGCAAUGCCGCGUGUGUGAAGAAGGCCUUCGGGUUGUAAAGCACUUUUGUCCGGAAAGAAAUACUUGGCUCUAAUACAGUCGGGGGAUGACGGUACCGGAAGAAUAAGCACCGGCUAACUACGUG